Molecule: ribosomal RNA, 449 nt
Filed under: uncultured bacterium
Lineage: Bacteria
Description: bacterial SSU rRNA
Rfam family: Bacterial small subunit ribosomal RNA
Source: RNAcentral
GUUUCGAAUCAUUCACAAUGGGCGAAAGCCUGAUGGUGCGACGCCGCGUGAGGGAUGAAGGUCUUCGGAUUGUAAACCUCUGUCACUGGGGAAGAAACGCUAAGCGUGAAUAUCGCUUAGCCUGACUUAACCCGGAGAGGAAGCAGUGGCUAACUCUGUGCCAGCAGCCGCGGUAAUACAGAGACUGCAAGCGUUAUUCGGAUUCACUGGGCGUAAAGGGUGCGCAGGCGGCCGUGUGUGUGAGGUGUGAAAUCCCGGAGCUUAACUCCGGAACUGCGCCUCAAACUACACGGCUAGAGCAUUGGAGAGGGAAGUGGAAUUCACGGUGUAGCAGUGAAAUGCGUAGAUAUCGUGAGGAACACCAGAGGCGAAGGCGACUUCCUGGACAAUUGCUGACGCUCAGGCACGAAAGCGUGGGGAGCAAAAGGGAUUAGAAACCCGGGUAGUCC